CCGCUACUCCAAAUCAAGUUCGAUGCCGCUUACUUAGAUGGUAUGCAUUCAUCUAAACUGUGACCAUGCUUUCUGUCAGAUUCCUCCGCAAUUUAUAACAUUUUGGUGCUAAAAAACCCUGCCUCAUUCAGCCAUUUUCCAUGAUCCGGUAUACAAGUUUGCGAAUUCAGAUUCUUCUUUCAUGUUAUUGUCUCUGGCCUCUUGGCAACAUUUUUCUGAACAUAUCUUAGGUAAGAUCCUUGUAGUCUGUUUUUGUUCUAUAGAAAGUUGUGUGCAAGACUACCAUCCACAAAACAAUGCAUGUAGAUAUGAUAUAUCUCAAUCUACUGAGUCACAGGUUUUAGAUUUGAGCUAUAAGCAAAGGAUCUUUCCAAAAGAGUCACUCAGUAGCAAAUUUACCUGCCAAUUUGUUUUAGCCGUCCUCCCUUUACAUGGUGGGGUAUAUAUUAGGGUGAUUGCAAUAUCCUAUUUUUGUGUUUUUUUUUUCCUGGAUGGUGCUCCUUUUUCAAAAUUUUCAAACCAU
This 523-nucleotide long non-coding RNA is filed under the name Musa acuminata (dwarf banana). RNAcentral describes it as "long non-coding RNA (MACU_LNC004315)". Lineage: Eukaryota; Viridiplantae; Streptophyta; Magnoliopsida; Zingiberales; Musaceae. The record is from RNAcentral.